This 7122-nucleotide long non-coding RNA is filed under the name Salvia miltiorrhiza (redroot sage). RNAcentral's name for it is "long non-coding RNA (SMIL_LNC001815)". Lineage: Eukaryota; Viridiplantae; Streptophyta; Magnoliopsida; Lamiales; Lamiaceae. The record is from RNAcentral.
ACCUAUCCAACGAUCAAUUGUCUCGGCAACACACAAACAACGUAAGCAGCGAUACUUAAAGAAAAAUCAAGCGGAAAGUAAAGAACACAAGACACCAACAAUGGUAACCCAGUUCGGUGAUAAAACACCUACGUCUGGGGGGCCUCGCCCAGUUCAAACAGUUCACUAGUGAGGAUAAGAAAUACAAAGGACUUACACGCGAAGACUCAAUCUUCCUAGCCUCUAUUUCUUCCCAAAUCGUCACCUAUGUGAACUACCAAGAGCAAGAUAGAACUCACUCUUCACAAACGUGAUUGAUACUCAAUCCACGUUCCACACAACAACCAAAAACCACUCCAACAGAAUGAAGUACAGAUCACCAAACAUAAAACCCACUUACGCUUUCAAGGAAAUAAACUGUAAAGCAACAGCACACACUCCCGAAUUGUAUGCUCGCUGGAUGCACGAAAAUAUUCUCACAAAGUAAAGAGAAUGAACGAAAAAGCAGCAGCCACCUGUGAUCGACGACAGCUCUUUAAAUAUGAAAACCCUUGGCAAGAAGUAGAGAGCCCAUGAACUGCAAAACCCAACCAACGCAGGGCCCAAGAAGGGUUUCCAUAAGGCGAUGAGUCCUAGGGUACGAAGACUCCCUCAAGAAAACGAACUCUUCAAGCAAAGAUAAUAUCUUUAAGAUAUCUUUCCAUAUUUCUUCAAAAACCCGCAAGGAAACAAAGUAGAAAGAACCUUGCAACCGAACAAGAAACCCAACUAGAGACAUCCUGUGAAACUAUUGAAGAAACAUCCUAUUGUCUACACAAUGACAACCAAGCAUAGAGUGAAGAAAUACUCAACAAUCUCCCCCUUUGUCAUUGGUGUAGACAAAAACAAUUUCUGCACAACUCAUGAAUACACGGCAGAAAAUAAGCAGCAUAAGCUCACCCUCAAAGAGAUCAGCUCCCCCAAAACACAAAACCUGCACCAGCAAAUCUGCACCAGCAAUAUGAAAAUCUGCACCAACAAAACACAAAGUCCUUCAAAGAAAUGCACCAGCAGACUGACAAAGAACUCCCCCUCAAAAGGAAAUCUGCUCCCCCUCAAAAACCAUAGAAAAGCAUAAAUGAAAUGCUAUCGUCAGUCGCACAGCCAAAAGCACAGACCAUAAGCACAGACAAUAUAUAUACUCCCCCUUUUUGUCACAACAAUGACAAAGAGCUAGUUGCCAGACCCAUCAGAAUCUUCAUCCUCAGAACCUUCAUCAGGUAACUCACUUGCUUUAGAAGCUAUUGCACCAGCAGAACCAUGCUUCAGAUCAAAUAACAGUGCUUCAAAAGCAGCUCGUCGCUUGAUGUCACGUGCAAGAGCAGCUGUUCGAGGAGGAACAUCAUCAUCGCUAGAAUCACCAUUCUCAUCAGUAAAAUAGGAGAAGCCCAGUUGCUGCUUUUAGAACGAGAAAACCCCAAAAGAAUUAACCCAUAGAAAUUGAAGCCCAGAAUAGCUAAUAAAACAUGAUCCAUUCGCACAACACUUGAAAGAUCACAGGACCAAUAAACACAAGUCUGAUCAAGUUUGACUUGAUUAACAGAAGAUCGACAGGAAUAAAUGUACUUCAUAUCUGCAAAGAUAACACUUUUGAAGAGACUCCAUUUGAAGCAGGAACAAGAACUGGUACUUAUGCUAGAAGAAUUCACAAAAUAGCAGAGUACCCAUGUUUUCCUCAAGACAGAUAGUCAUAAGAUACAGAGCCCCAGCUCUCCACGUAAUUUUUCGAAUCUUUCGGCAUCCAAAGGUUUUGUUAGAAUGUCGGCAAUCUGCCUCUCAGUAGGCAAGAACUCCAAAUUGAGAGUUUUAUCCUCCACCAAUUCUCUAAUAAAAUGAUGGCGAAUCUCUAUGUGUUUAGUGCGAGAGUGGAGAACAGGAUUCUUGGUGAUGUCUAUAGCACUCUUGUUGUCACAAUAUAGAGUAUAACCCCGGGAUGGUAUUCCAUAAUCUUCCAUCAUAUGAGUCAUCCAUAUAAGUUGCGUACAAGCACUGCCAGCUGCUAUGUAUUCAGCUUCUGUAGAUGAUUGAGAUACACAAUUCUGUUUCUUACUAUGCCAUGAGACCAGAUUAUUUCCCAAAUAGAAACAACCACCGGAAGUGCUUUUCCGAGCAUCUGGACUCCCUGCCCAAUCGGCAUCAGUAAAUCCAACCAAGGAAGUAGUACUGUCCUUAGUAAACCAUAAACCCAAGUUACUUGUGCCCUUGACAUACUUGAUGAUGUUUUUCACGGCAGUCAAGUGACUUUCCUUAGGACAAGCCUGGUAACGAGCACAAACUCCUACACUAAAACUGAUGUCAGGUCGACUAGCUGUGAGAUAGAGCAAACUGCCAAUCAUGCUUCGAUACAUCUUCUGAUCAACAUUCUUCCCUCCUUCGUCUUUAGAUAUCUUUGUGCUGGUACUCAUCGGAGUACGUCGAGGUUUAGAGGUCUCCAUACCAAAUUUCUUAACCAAAUUCUCAGCAUAAGUAGAUUGGCUGACAAAAAUCCCAUCUUCACUUUGUUUGACCUGAAGUCCCAGAAAAAAGCGAAGCUCGUCGAAAAGGCUCAUGUCAUAUUCACUGGUCAUGUCAUCCACAAACUCCUUAACAAGUUCUUGAGAUCGUGAUCCGAAGACAAUAUCAUCUACAUAGAUUUGAAUGAUUAUCAUAUCCUUGCCAUUGUGUUUGACAAAUAAGGUCUUGUCUGAUCCACCUCUCUUGUAUCCUUUAGAUAUGAGAAAAAUUGAUAGAGUCUCAUACCAAGCUCUCGGAGCCUGUUUCAAACCGUAGAGAGCUUUCCUCAAUCGAUACACAUGAUUUGGGAACUUGGGAUCUUCAAAUCCUUUUGGUUGUUCCACAUAAACUUCCUCCUCAAGAUCGCCAUUGAGAAAGGCGCUUUUGACAUCCAUUUGAUAUAACUUGAAAUUCAUGGAACAAGCAAGGGCAAGGAGAAGACGUACAGAUUCGAGACGAGUAACGGGGGCGAAGGUUUCUUCGAAGUCAACUCCUUCCAUCUGAGAAUAACCCUGAGCAACAAGGCGUGCCUUGUUUCUUAUAAUAAAUCCAGCAAGAUCGUAUUUGUUGCGAAAAAUCCACUUCGUUCCAAUGAUAUUAGCUGAGAUAGGCCGUGGAACAAGAUACCACACAUUGCAUCUUUCGAAUUGGAGGAGCUCUUCCUGCAUAGCUGCAAUCCAAAAUUCAUCUUGAAGGGCUUCUUUGAUGCUUUUGGGUUCCAGUUUAGAGAGAUAACACACGUGAGCAAUAUGUGCAACCAUCUUCUUAAAAUCAAUCUUGAUGCCCCGAGUUUUUAUCCCUUCAUUUAUCUCUCCAAUGAUAUCAGCUUGAGAAUGAUUCUUUUCAACUCUACUAACUCUGGUAGUAGGAUCAACGUGUUCUUCAUCUCCACUCUCUGUAUCACUGUCAAUUUUGAUAUUAGUGGGUUCUGCAGUUUUGACCGGUGAAGAAACUUCAGUAGAGACAUUCUGAGCAACUUCUUCAUCUGAGAGAUUUCUAUCUGCAUCAUCAAAAAUGACGUUCGUUGACUCUUGAAUUGUUUCAGUCUUCUUGUUGAACACCCGAAAGCCAUGACCAUCAGAAUAACCCAAAAAUAUACCUUCCGAACUUCUGUCAUCCAACUUCUUUUUCUGUUCGCGAUCAUUUAGAAUGUAGCAGGUACAUCCAAAAGUAUGAAAAUACUUUACAUUUGGUUUUCUUCCCUUCCAUAUUUCAUAAGGUGUGGAUGAAGUCUUGGGUCGCAAAUACACACGAUUGAUGAUAUAGCAAGCCGUAUUCAUAGCUUCAGCCCAGAAAUUUGUUGCUAUGUUUUUGCUUUCAUCAUAGUUCGAACCAUGUCCUGAAGAGUACGAUUCUUCCGUUCCACGACUCCAUUUUGCUGAGGAGUUUUCGGAGCAGAAUACUCAUGAGUGAUUCCCUUUUCUUCACAAAAUUUGUCAAACUCAGAAUUUUCAAAUUCUCUUCCGUGAUCACUUCUGAUUCGUUUCACAGAUACUUCUUUAUCCUUUUCAAGCUUGAGACAUAAAAUCUUGAACUUUUCGAAGGCUUCUGAUUUAUCUCUUAGAAAGAGCACCCAGGUAAACCGAGAGAAGUCAUCGACACAUACUAGCACAUAUUUCUUUCUCCCUAUGCUUUCAACCUGCAUUGGCCCCAUGAGAUCCAUAUGUAUCAGUUCAAGAAUGCGAGUAGUUGUGAUUUUGGAGACUCUCUUGUGACUUGAAUGAGUUUGCUUCCCGAUCUGACACGCACCGCAAACACCUUUAGUAUUAAUCACCAGCUUGGGAAGACCUUUGAUAGCAUCUGUCUUCACGAGCUUUUUCAUGUUUCUCAGGCUGGUAUGUCCAAGUUUUUGAUGCCAUGUAUCAGUAUCAUCUCCAAGAACCUGAAAACAUGAAUUAUCAGGAGAUACAAUGUAGCAAUUAUCACUUGAUCGCUUGCCCGAGAUAUACUCCUUAUCUCCAUCUUUAACAAUGCACUUAUCUUUGUCGAAAAUGACCGUCAUUUGUUCAUCGCAGAGCUGACUGAUACUGAUCAGAUUGGCCUUCAAACCUUCAACAAGCAUGACAUUCUUUAGUUUAGGCAUACCUGGAACAUUCAAAGUACCUGUUCCUACGACCUUUGCCUGGACACCAUCACCAAAAGUUACUCUUUCUUCAACAAUUGUAUGAAUAUCCUCCAGAUGCUUCUCAUCUCCAGUCAUAUGCUUAGAGCAACCACUAUCUAAAUACCAUGACCGAUGAAAGCCAGACCAAAGAGAGUUGUGAACAACAUAUCCUCUGUUCAUCCUUGGCCGAUAAUUUUGGGAAUUUCUCAUAUUUUGGAUGUCGCGUAGAAGAAAUCGACAUCUAGGUCUGAUAUGACCUCUCCUUCCACAAUAGUGACAAGUUGGAACGAAAGCUCUAUUGUAGUUUUUCUUCGAAUGAGCAUUUUUAUAAGCAGCUGGUCGAAGCACAGGUGGUUUAGGCGGCUGAUCAACUGCGUUGGGGGGCGUGGCUUUAGCUUUUCCUCCAUCAUCUUUGGGAAUCCAUCCUUUUCCUUGAAAGCCUAAUCCAGCUUUAUUUCCAGAGCUUUGACUAUUUUCCAGAAUUUCGUCCAACUUUUCAGUCCCGGUAUUCAUCAUUUUAACAAGUUUUUGAUGAUGCUCCAGUUCAUCAAUCUUAGAUUUCAUAGUCUGUCGAAGAGCCACCAGUUCAGCCUUUUGUUUUUCACAGAGAUCCACAAGUUCAUCACGUUCCUUCGAGACAUUGCUAAGUUGAGUGGAAAGAGAUUUAUUCAGCUCAAGCACAGCUACACACUUCUUGUACAUCAGUUCAUAAUUCUCUGUCAAGAAGCUUUCAUCAAUAUCCUCAUUAUCACUUUCAGUCUCUUCCACAGUAACAACAUCUGAAGAGACUUUGGCUGGGAUUUCCUCCAUUUUAGCAGCAUAUGCGACAUUGUUCUCUUGAACGUCUGAAUCUAUCUCAAGUUUCAGGGGAUCAUCAUCAACCUCCUCCUCUUUGGUAAGCUUAAUAGAGCUUAUAAGAGCAACCGGUUCAUCCUCUGACUCGCUCCCACUGUCAUCCGUUUCAUCAUCACUCAAUGAGACAUUGUAGGAUUUGUUUUCCUUGUUCAGCUUCUUCAAAGUAUUCGCACAUUCAGCUUGAAUGUGUCCAUAACCAUGACAUUCAUAGCAUUGAAUUCCAGAUUUUGAAGCAGACCCUUGAUCCUUCUUCCCUUGAGAUAGUUGAAAGCUUUUUGCAUUCUGAAAACCUCUACCUCCAUCAUUUCUCUUUUUGAACUUAUUGAAAGCUUUACCAAAUUUUUUGGUAAAAAGAGCAAGAGAUUCAAUUAAAUCAUCAGAAUCAUAUUUGGUAGAGCCCUUCUUGCUGUUUCCGGAAUCUGCGACAAACGCAAUACUCUUCUUCUUCUCAGAUCUCUCUGGCCGAAGAUUCAUUUCGAACGUUCUUAAAGAACCUAUUAGUUCUUCAAGCUUCAUAUCACUGACGUCUCUUGCUUCAUCUAUGGCAGUGAGUUUGUAGUCAAAUCUUUCAGGUAGAGCACGCAUCACUUUUCGCACAAGCUUUUCUUCAGGAAUUCUUUCUCCAAGAGAGAAACUUUCAUUAGCAAGAGCAAGGAGUUUGCCAUGAAAGGUGCUAAUAUCCUCAUUCUCGUCCAUCCUUAGCUCUUCAAACUUCGUAGCAAGUUGCUGGAGACGCUGUUUUUUAACUUUAGAAUUCCCCUCAUAAGUACUCAUCAGAACAUCCCACGCCUCUUUUGCGUUAGCACACAUAGAUAUAAGAGCAAACACCUCCAUAGUUACAGCAUUCUGGAUAGAAUUCAGAGCUUUUUGAUUGGCAUUAGAGGCGGCCAGUUCAGUGAGCGUCCAUUUAUUUCUGGGCGUAAGUUUUCCUUCCACAUCACAAGGAGCAGUCCACCCUUCUUCCACAGCGGUCCAGGCAUUCUCAUCAACCGCACGAAUAAAAGAUGUCAUACGCAUCUUCCAGUAGAUGUAGUUGCUCCCAUCCAGUAAAGGUGGUCUAGAGACUGAACCACCUUCUCUUUGGGUUGCCAUAGAGAAGAACAACGCAGCAGCAGCGGAAUAGAACGGAUAGAUACACCAGGAACUACCACCGAUAACUUGGGUGAUCCCGCUCUGAUACCAAUUGAAAUUGUACCUAUCCAACGAUCAAUUGUCUCGGCAACACACAAACAACGUAAGCAGCGAUACUUAAAGAAAAAUCAAGCGGAAAGUAAAGAACACAAGACACCAACAAUGGUAACCCAGUUCGGUGAUAAAACACCUACGUCUGGGGGGCCUCGCCCAGUUCAAACAGUUCACUAGUGAGGAUAAGAAAUACAAAGGACUUACACGCGAAGACUCAAUCUUCCUAGCCUCUAUUUCUUCCCAAAUCGUCACCUAUGUGAACUACCAAGAGCAAGAUAGAACUCACUCUUCACAAACGUGAUUGAUACUCAAUCCACGUUCCACACAACAACCAAAAACCACUCCAACAGAAUGAAGUACAGAUCACCAAACAUAAAACCCACUUACGCUUUCAAGGAAAUAAACUGUAAAGCAACAGCACACACUCCCGAAUUGUAUGCUCGCUGGAUGCACGAAAAUAUUCUCAC